Molecule: ribosomal RNA, 246 nt
Filed under: uncultured bacterium
Lineage: Bacteria
Description: partial small subunit ribosomal RNA
Rfam family: Bacterial small subunit ribosomal RNA
Source: RNAcentral
AGAAUCAACGCUGGCGGCGUGCCUAACACAUGCAAGUCGCACGAGAAAGGGUAGCAAUACCUGAGUAAAGUGGCGCACGGGUGAGUAACACGUGAAUAAUCUACCUCCGAGUGGGGAAUAACUGAGAGAAAUCUUAGCUAAUACCGCAUAACACUUACGAGUCAAAGCAGCAAUGCGCUUGGAGAGGAGUUCGCGGCAGGAUUAGCUAGUUGGCGGGGUAAUGGCCACCAAGGCGAUGAUCUGUAC